Molecule: ribosomal RNA, 2217 nt
Filed under: Triticum aestivum (bread wheat)
Lineage: Eukaryota; Viridiplantae; Streptophyta; Magnoliopsida; Poales; Poaceae
Description: partial small subunit ribosomal RNA
Source: RNAcentral
AUGGCGAUGGGCAGCAUGAGGUUGAUGUUGAGGGCCUUGACCUUGAUGGUGGUGCAAAGGCAGAGAGCAGCGUCGAGGUCGGCAACGCCGGACAGCAGCGGGCAGCAUGUAUUCCUGGCGCUACUGCCGAUCACCGCGUGCAACAGCCCAUUGAGCACGUCCACGCACGCAAGUAGCUUCAGUGUGUCCACGGGGCACUUGCCGGUCGAUGUAGCCGGCGCUGGGGCCGGGGCUGGGGGUGGCGUCGGAGUCACAGGGGUGGGUGCUGGCGGCAUCACGAGGGUCGGUGUUGGGGCCACCGGGAUUGGCGUUCGAGAGACAGGGGUUGGUGCUGGCAUCAGAGUCACAAGGGUUGGUGAUGGCGGUAUCAUAGGAGUCGGUGUUGGGGCCACCGGAGUUGGCGUUGGAGAAACGGGGGUCGGUGCUGGCAUCGGAGUCACCGAUGUUGGUGUUGGCGGCAUCACAGGGGCCGGUGUUGGGGUCACCAGGGUUGGCGACGGAGAGACAGGGGUGGGUGCUGGCGUCGGAACCACACGGGUCGGUGUUGGCGCCACCGGACUUGGCGUUGGAGAGAUAGGGGUCGAUGCCGGCGUCGUUGUUGGCGGCAUCACAGGGAUAGGUCUUGGGGCCACCGGGUUUGGCGUUGGAGAUACAGGGGUCGGUGCCGGCGUUGGUGCCAUAGGCAUCUGUCUCGGCGGCAUCACGGUUGUAGGUGUUGGGGCCACCGGUGUUGGUGUUGGAGAGAGAGGAGCUGGUACCGGCGUUGGAGUUAUAGGGGUUGGUAUUGGAGGCAUCAUAGGGGUCGGUGCCGAUGUUGGAGUUACAGAGGCCGGUAUGGGCGUGGGUGCCGGAGUGUUUGUAGGUGGAGGGAUGAAGACAGUCGGGGUCGGUGCCGGCGUCGGAGUCACCGGGGUGAGUGUGGGUGUGGUUGAGGGCAUGGGAGUUUGUGAAGGUGGAGGGCAGGGUAUGGACGAUGGUGAGGACUUGUGCUUACACGGUGCAGGCUUGGAAGGCUUUGUGGGCGGGCAUGAUCGGCAUGGCGCGGACUGCGCGAGAUGCCCGGCUAAGGAGAGCAGGGCCACCAGCAAGAACGCCGCAAUGCGGGCCAUGGUCUUGGAGCUUAAGGUCAAAUCAACUUAUGGAACAGAAGGGCAGCGGAAGUCUUUCGGCACUCUCUUGCCGCACUGGUUGACGAGCACCUCGAUGGCGAUGGGCAGCAUGAGGUUGAUGUUGAGGGCCUUGACGUUGAUGGUGGUGCAAAGGCAGAGAGCAGCGUCGAGGUCGGCAACGCCGGACAGCAGCGGGCAGCAUGUAUUCCUGGCGCUACUGCCGAUCACCGCGUGCAACAGCCCAUUGAGCACGUCCACGCACGCAAGUAGCUUCAGUGUGUCCACGGGGCACUUGCCGGUCGAUGUAGCCGGCGCUGGGGCCGGGGCUGGGGGUGGCGUCGGAGUCACAGGGGUGGGUGCUGGCGGCAUCACGAGGGUCGGUGUUGGGCCCACCGGGAUUGGCGUUCGAGAGACAGGGGUUGGUGCUGGCAUCGGAGUCACAAGGGUUGGUGAUGGCGGUAUCAUAGGAGUCGGUGUUGGGGCCACCNNNNNNNNNNCACGGGUCGGUGUUGGCGCCACCGGACUUGGCGUUGGAGAGAUAGGGGUCGAUGCCGGCGUCGGUGUUGGCGGCAUCACAGGGAUAGGUCUUGGGGCCACCGGGUUUGGCGUUGGAGAUACAGGGGUCGGUGCCGGCAUUGGUGCCAUAGGCAUCUGUGUCGGCGGCAUCACGGUUGUAGGUGUUGGGGCCACCGGUGUUGGUGUUGGAGAGAGAGGAGCUGGUACCGGCGUUGGAGUUAUAGGGGUUGGUAUUGGAGGCAUCAUAGGGGUCGGUGCCGAUGUUGGAGUUACAGAGGCCGGUAUGGGCGUGGGUGCCGGAGUGUUUGUAGGUGGAGGGAUGAAGACAGUCGGGGUCGGUGCCGGCGUCGGAGUCACCGGGGUGAGUGUGGGUGUGGUUGAGGGCAUGGGAGUUUGUGAAGGUGGAGGGCAGGGUAUGGACGAUGGUGAGGACUUGUGCUUACACGGUGCAGGCUGGGAAGGCUUUGUGGGCGGGCAUGAUCGGCAUGGCGCGGACUGCGCGAGAUGCCCGGCUAAGGAGAGCAGGGCCACCAGCAAGAACGCCGCAAUGCGGGCCAUGGUCUUGGAGCUUAAGGUCUCGGUGUUGGUAUAG